UUAAAGAGGGCUGGAAUGAAAGGUUUGACGAGGUAUUAGCUGUCUCAUUUUAUUUGAUUUUAAAAUUUAACUUUUUAGUCAAAAGGCUUAAAUUUAAUUGGUAGACGAGAAGACCCUAUAGAGCUUUAUAUUAAAUUAUUUAAUAAUUUGUAUAUAAAAUUUUAUUAUAUAAUUUAUUAUUCUGUUGGGGUGACAAGAAAAUAUAAAUAACUUUUUUAAUUAUAUAACAUUAAUAUAUGAUUAAUCGAUCCAUUAUUAUUGAUUAUUAGAUUAAGUUACCUUAGGGAUAACAGCGUAAUCCUCCCCCAGAGUUCAUAUUUACGGGUAGGGCUUGCGACCUCGAUGUUGGAUUAAGAUAAUAGUUAGGUGUAGCCGGGGUAAUAUAAGGUCUGUUCGACCUUUAAAUUCUUACAUGAUCUGAG
Molecule: ribosomal RNA, 422 nt
Filed under: Rialla villosa
Lineage: Eukaryota; Metazoa; Arthropoda; Insecta; Odonata; Corduliidae
Description: partial 16S ribosomal RNA
Rfam family: Bacterial large subunit ribosomal RNA (bases 100-422)
Source: RNAcentral